RNAcentral lists this transfer RNA (72 nucleotides) under Diaphorina citri (Asian citrus psyllid). It matches the Rfam family "tRNA". Rfam says of the family: Transfer RNA (tRNA) molecules are approximately 80 nucleotides in length. Their secondary structure includes four short double-helical elements and three loops (D, anti-codon, and T loops). Further hydrogen bonds mediate the characteristic L-shaped molecular structure. tRNAs have two regions of fundamental functional importance: the anti-codon, which is responsible for specific mRNA codon recognition, and the 3' end, to which the tRNAs corresponding amino acid is attached (by aminoacyl-tRNA synthetases). tRNAs cope with the degeneracy of the genetic code in two manners: having more than one tRNA (with a specific anti-codon) for a particular amino acid; and 'wobble' base-pairing, i.e. permitting non-standard base-pairing at the 3rd anti-codon position. Lineage: Eukaryota; Metazoa; Arthropoda; Insecta; Hemiptera; Psyllidae. The record is from Rfam by way of RNAcentral.
AGCUCCCUGGUUUAGUGGUCACUGCACUCGCCUUGCACGCGGGAGACCCGGGUUCGAUUCCCGGCGGGGUCA